GAAAUGCUUGAGCUAUCUUUUUAAGAUCUG
RNAcentral lists this non-coding RNA (30 nucleotides) under Mus musculus (house mouse). Lineage: Eukaryota; Metazoa; Chordata; Mammalia; Rodentia; Muridae. The record is from RNAcentral.